RNAcentral lists this ribosomal RNA (328 nucleotides) under Pratylenchus penetrans. RNAcentral's name for it is "partial large subunit ribosomal RNA". It matches the Rfam family "Eukaryotic large subunit ribosomal RNA", at positions 659 to 961 of the family's 3401-position model. Lineage: Eukaryota; Metazoa; Nematoda; Chromadorea; Rhabditida; Pratylenchidae. The record is from RNAcentral.
ACACGGACCAAGGAGUUUAUCGUGUGCGCAAGUCAUUGGGUGUUGAAAACUCAAAGGCGCAAUGAAAGUAAAGAAUCCGCAAGGAUACGACGUGUGAUCUGAGCAAUCACGAUUGCCUGGAGCAACAUGGCCCCAUUCUGGUCGCUUGCGACGGGGUGGAGGAAGAGCGUACGCGGUGAGACCCGAAAGAUGGUGAACUAUUCCUGAGCAGGAUGAAGCCAGAGGAAACUCUGGUGGAAGUCCGAAGCGAUUCUGACGUGCAAAUCGAUCGUCUGACUUGGGUAUAGGGGCGAAAGACUAAUCGAACCAUCUAGUAGCUGGUUCCUUC